Molecule: ribosomal RNA, 120 nt
Organism: Rhinopithecus bieti (black snub-nosed monkey)
Lineage: Eukaryota; Metazoa; Chordata; Mammalia; Primates; Cercopithecidae
Source: Ensembl
GUGUAUGGCCAUACCACCCUGAACGUGCCUGAUCUUAUUUGAUCUCGUGAAGCUAAGCAGGAUCUGGCCUGGUUAGUUCUUGGAUGGGAGACCACCUGGAAUUCCCAGGUGCUGCAGGCC